Molecule: non-coding RNA, 99 nt
Organism: Acanthosepion pharaonis
Lineage: Eukaryota; Metazoa; Mollusca; Cephalopoda; Sepiida; Sepiidae
Source: the annotation of a GenBank genome assembly
UGCUGAAACAGCAGUUCUCACAAGAUCACUGAAGUUAAGCAAUGUUGAGCCUGGUAAUUAUCUAGAUAGGUGACCGCUUGGGAAUACCAGGUGCUGUAA